CCGGGUGUGUAAGCGCAGCGAUGCGUUGAGCUAACCGGUACUAAUGAACCGUGAGACUUAACCUUACAACGCCGAAG
Molecule: ribosomal RNA, 77 nt
Filed under: Escherichia coli
Lineage: Bacteria; Pseudomonadati; Pseudomonadota; Gammaproteobacteria; Enterobacterales; Enterobacteriaceae
Description: partial 23S ribosomal RNA
Source: RNAcentral